ACUCAAAUGAAUUGACGGGGGCCCGCACAAGCAGCGGAGCGUGUGGUUUAAUUCGAGGCUACACGAAGAACCUUACCUGGGCUUGACAUGGCGGUGGUAGCGACCUGAAAGGGGAGCGACCUUCGGGAGCCGUCACAGGUGCUGCAUGGCUGUCGUCAGCUCGUGUCGUGAGAUGUUCGGUUAAGUCCGGUAACGAGCGCAACCCUCGCCGUCAGUUACAAGUGUCUGGCGGGACUGCCCGUUGAACGCGGGAGGAAGGUGGGGAUGACGUCAAGUCAGCAUGGCCUUAAUGUCCAGGGCUACACACACGCUACAAUGGCCGGCACAGCAGGUUGCCAACCCGCGAGGGGGAGCCAAUCCCGUAAAGCCGGUCUCAGUUCGGAUUGCAGGCUGCAACCCGCCUGCAUGAAGUGGGAGUUGCUAGUAAACGCGCAUCAGCCAAGGCGCGUUGAAUACGUUCCCGGGCCUUGUACACACCGCCCGU
This 484-nucleotide ribosomal RNA is filed under the name uncultured bacterium. RNAcentral's name for it is "bacterial SSU rRNA". It matches the Rfam family "Bacterial small subunit ribosomal RNA", at positions 899 to 1397 of the family's 1533-position model. The record is from RNAcentral.